This 319-nucleotide long non-coding RNA is filed under the name Prunus persica (peach). Its description in RNAcentral is "long non-coding RNA (PPER_LNC004657)". The record is from RNAcentral. Lineage: Eukaryota; Viridiplantae; Streptophyta; Magnoliopsida; Rosales; Rosaceae.
CGGGAGGAGUCAUUUGGUGGGUUUUGAGAGAAAUCCAAUCUCAAGAACUAUACAACACACCAUCCACUACAUUUCAGAAUGAACUUCAUACGAACCUGAAUUGUCCAAUUUCACGGACCAAUCGAUAUCGGAUUGACUCCAAAACUUGGGGAACAUCAUAAUAUUGUGGGAGGAGUCAUUUGGUGUGUUGUGAGUGAAAUCCAAUUUCUAGAACUAUACAAUACGCCAACCACUCCACUUCAUAACGAACAUCUGACGAAUCUGAAUUGUCGAUUUUAUGGACCAAUCGAUGUCGGGUUGAGUCCAAAACUUGGAGAAC